GUCAGAAUGGCCGAGCGGUCUAAGGCGCCAGAUUUAAGCUCUGGUUCUCGAAAGAGAGCAUGGGUUCGAACCCCACUUCUGACA
RNAcentral lists this transfer RNA (84 nucleotides) under Nephila pilipes (giant wood spider). It matches the Rfam family "tRNA". Rfam says of the family: Transfer RNA (tRNA) molecules are approximately 80 nucleotides in length. The record is from Rfam by way of RNAcentral. Lineage: Eukaryota; Metazoa; Arthropoda; Arachnida; Araneae; Nephilidae.